RNAcentral lists this ribosomal RNA (633 nucleotides) under Hamigera avellanea. RNAcentral describes it as "eukaryotic LSU rRNA". It matches the Rfam family "Eukaryotic large subunit ribosomal RNA", at positions 1 to 649 of the family's 3401-position model. Lineage: Eukaryota; Fungi; Ascomycota; Eurotiomycetes; Eurotiales; Aspergillaceae. The record is from RNAcentral.
UGACCUCGGAUCAGGUAGGGAUACCCGCUGAACUUAAGCAUAUCAAUAAGCGGAGGAAAAGAAACCAACAGGGAUUGCCUCAGUAACGGCGAGUGAAGCGGCAAGAGCUCAAAUUUGAAAUCUGGCCCCUCCGGGGUCCGAGUUGUAAUUUGCAGAGGAUGCUUCGGAUACGGCCCCCGUCUAAGUGCCCUGGAACGGGCCGUCGGAGAGGGUGAGAAUCCCGUCUGGGACGGGGUGUCCGUGUCCGUGUGAAGCUCCUUCGACGAGUCGAGUUGUUUGGGAAUGCAGCUCUAAAUGGGUGGUAAAUUUCAUCUAAAGCUAAAUAUUGGCCGGAGACCGAUAGCGCACAAGUAGAGUGAUCGAAAGAUGAAAAGCACUUUGAAAAGAGAGUUAAACAGCACGUGAAAUUGUUGAAAGGGAAGCGCUUGCGACCAGACUCGCCGGCGGGGUUCAGCCGGGAUUCGUCCCGGUGUACUUCCCCGCCGGCGGGCCAGCGUCGGUUUGGGCGGCCGGUCAAAGGCCUCCGGAAUGUAUCGCCCCCCGGGGCGUCUUAUAGCCGGAGGUGCAAUGCGGCCUGCCCGGACCGAGGAACGCGCUUCGGCACGGACGCUGGCAUAAUGGUCGUAAGCGACC